GAUGAACGCUAGCGGGAGGCCUAAUACAUGCAAGUCGAACGGUAAGGCUCCUUCGGGAGUACACGAGUGGCGAACGGGUGCGUAACGCGUACGAAACAUGCCUUUAUCAAAUGGAUAGCCCUGGGAAACUGGGAUUAAUACAUUAUAGUAUUAUGAUAACACCUGUUAUAAUGAUUAAAGCUCCGGCGGAUAAAGAUUGUCGUGCGUCCCAUUAGCUAGUUGGUAAGGUAAAAGCUUACCAAGGCGACGAUGGGUAGCUGGUUUGAGAGGAUGAUCGGCCACACUGGUACUGAGACACGGACCAG
RNAcentral lists this ribosomal RNA (305 nucleotides) under uncultured bacterium. RNAcentral's name for it is "bacterial SSU rRNA". It matches the Rfam family "Bacterial small subunit ribosomal RNA", at positions 28 to 334 of the family's 1533-position model. The record is from RNAcentral.